Molecule: non-coding RNA, 82 nt
Organism: Podarcis lilfordi (Lilford's wall lizard)
Lineage: Eukaryota; Metazoa; Chordata; Lepidosauria; Squamata; Lacertidae
Source: the annotation of a GenBank genome assembly
GUAUUGCUGCAUAGAUAGCUCAGUUGGUUAGAGCUUGGUGCUGAUAACACCAUGGUUACAGGUUUGAUCACUGCACAGGACA